Molecule: long non-coding RNA, 335 nt
Organism: Gordionus sp. m RMFG-2023
Lineage: Eukaryota; Metazoa; Nematomorpha; Gordioida; Chordodea; Parachordodidae
Exons: 3
Source: RefSeq, a predicted model, not a curated record
UAAUUAUUUUAUCCAGAUAAUCUUAUACAGUGUCACACAGGAAUUUUUCAAUUUAUUCGAUCUUAAAAAUUAUCUUUGAAUUAUUCAAACAUUAACAUGACCGAUUCGAUUCAUUCGCAAAUCGUUGCCACCAUCCAAUCAGGUAAUUUUCAAUUGAAAAAAACACGAGGGCCUGCUAUAAAUUCUUCCACAAAAAUAUUCGUGUCGAAUAAUUCUAAUCAAAUUGUGGCCAAAGUCUCUCCCAAAUCAAAUAACUAUGAAUGUGGUGAUUGCAAGCCCUUAGAAACAAAUGUUUUUCGUAUUAAAGCAUAUGAAAAGCCGACAAAAUUAGCCCC